AGAUAGAUAGAUAGAUAGAUAGAUAGAUAGAACAUAUUAAUGACAGACAGAUAGAUAGAUAGAUAGACAGAUAGAUAGAUAGAUAGAUAGAUAGAUAGAUAGAUAGAUAGAUAGAUAGAAAGAUAGAUGAUAGAAUUCGAUCGAUAGAAGGAUAGAUAAUAGAUAGAUUGAUAGAGAGACAGAUGAUAGACAGAUGUCCGGUGCGUCUAGUGUUAGAAUCUGCUGAGGUGGCUGUAAUCUCAGCUGGAGCAUCAAACAUACUGUAGCUCUGGUCUGAAGAAGCGCACGCUCUGAAAAGAGCAUCUGUUGAAUGUACACUUUCACUCUCCUUCCUUCUGUCAUUCACACAUCCCCCUUUCACUGGAGCAGCUAUUUCCUGUUUUCCUGUAAUGGCUCUCUCUCUCUCUCUCUCUCUCUCUCUCUCUGUAGACUGUACUGUAUCCAAUCUGUUCUUCUGUGUGUCAGAAUGCAGUGAAUCUCUAUCACUGUUGUUAAUCCUUCUCCAGGCUCCCCAUGGGUCCCUAAAAGUCUUACAUUCACUUUGAUCAAAUGUGAGCUCAUAAAAAACCUGAAUAUAUUGAAUAUCUAUUCAAUAUCUUGAAUGUUAGAAGAAUGGAAACAUAAGUAUACUUCUGGAUGAAAAAAAGGAUAUACAGUAUUAAUUUUAUCUGUACAGAUCUUUAAAACUCUUAGAUUUGAAUAACUCUGCAUUUACACUGGUUCUCCAGUAAACUCCAAAAGACUUUAAGAUUGACCCUUGACCCUUAGAGUGGAAAUCAUGCCCAGACCACUGUAUGUUUCCAUUGUUAGGGCUGCUUUCUUUCUUUCUUUCUUUCUUUCUUUCAAAGCUUAACUCCUGCAGUCUCUUUGGCAGCAGUAUAUAAUUUAGAUUUAGAUUAGCUUUUUUAUAUCAUUACAAGCUUUCAGUGAGAUUAAUAACACGAUAACAGAAUAAUUCAAUCAUGAUGCUGCUAUAUCAGCACAAAGUGUGUGUGUGUGUGGGUGUGUGGGUGUAGGUCUGAAUGAUUCAGUGAUGUUAGAUUAACCCUCACCAUACAGUACAUGUCCACAGGUGCAGAGCUGAGUGGGCUUUUCUAAUUCAUUCUCUGUGAGCUAUGCAUCAGGCUUGAACAUUUUUCAACUUAAUGCUUAUAAAGUGAAAGGUAGCCAAGAUUGUGAAUGUUUAAAUCAUGUUGUUACAUGUUAAAAUAUUUCAUUGAGAUGUCAAGUGCAGUUUGGAGGCAUUCAUGUGAUCAAAAAUGACUGUAAUGGCAUUUAUAAUGUUACAAAAUUAUUUCUAUUUAAAAAAAAAACAACAACAGCUGUUUUAACAUCAGUAAUAAUAGGAAAUGUUUCCCGAGUAGUAAAGCAUAUUAGAAUGAUUUCUGAAGGAUCAUGUGGCACUGAAGACUGGAGUAAUGAUGCUGAAAAUUCUGCUUUGAUUACAGCAAUUAAUUACAUUUUGCAAUAUAUUCAAAUAUAAAGCAGUUAUUUUGAAAUAUUUUUGUAUUUUGAAUUUGGUCAAAUAAAUGCAGUCUUGGUGAGCAGGUGUCAUCUUUCAAAACCAUUAAAAAAGCUUAUCGACCCCAAAUUUGUUAAAUGAUGGCUUUAAUGACUGUAUUGAAAGCAAUAAUAGAGCAUACUGACAAACAUGCUGUUGUACAUUUACAGACACACCCCUAAAGUGACAGACAGCACAGAUUUUAUCGAGCGGAUUUCUUCUGCACCGGUGGACAUGGACGGUCAGGCCAGUUAAAGGUCACUAGAUUUCACUUCCAGCAUAAACAAGGACGGAUCCCAGUCAACACACUAUAGAGAGAGAGAGAGAGAGAGAGAGAGAGAGACUGAGUGGGUCAUAAAAUGAUUUGAACACUCUCUCCAGAUAAUCCCGUGGCUCAAAACAGUCUCUCAUUCUUCAGAAACAGUUUGUAAUCCACUGAAGAGAUUGUUGUGCAGAAAAACAGAUAAAGUUGAAAGAAUUUUUUGGACAGACUUCACGCUGAGCAAAUACAUAAACAUUAGCCUUUACUUGCAAGAAAACUUCACUACCAAAAACUUUCUACUUACAUUUGCAUUCAAAAAGCUCUCUGACAGACGUGAGAAGUUUCUGAAGAGUUCCUUUCUUCUCUCCUACUGAAGAUCAAUACAGCUCAAGAUUUUAUGUCCUAUUCCUGCAUUCGCAACCACUGUUCACCAGCACAUCACAAAUGAUAAGAUUAACCAUGGGUUAUGCAAAUGUGGCUGUAACCUGUUACACUUUAAUUAAAGGGGUCAUAUGAUGUGAUUUCAAGUUUUCCUUUCUCUUUGGAGUGUUACAAGCUGUUUGUGCAUAGAUAAGAUCCCUGAAGUUGCAAAGACUAAAGUAUCAAAACCAAAGAGAUAUUCUUUAUAAAAGUGAAGACUCGGCCACGCACCCCUAAAACGGCUCAUUCAAACAUGCCCCCACAUGUCUACGUCAUGGUGUGGGGAAAUUUUCAAAACACCGCCCAAAUGUAUAUGCAAAGAAAGAAGGCUAGACUUUUAUUCUCGCUGUAGUAUUGUUGCUGCCGCUGGUGCCAUGUCAUGGAGACGCUGUGUUUCGUUGCGAAAGCGAAACUACUUUGUUUGGGCUUCCAAAAGAGGACACAACUAGAAAUCAGUGAUUAAGUUGUAUUUACAACACUGUUCCAGAACAGUUCAACCCACAUAUUCAAGUGCGUGCAGCACAUUUUACGGAGAACUAUUUCCUGAACCUGGGAGUAGCCUGCCAGCUGUGCUCAAAGGCUGUUUCUAUAAUGUGGGGCAAUUCCAACUUUGCAAGGACAGUAUGGCGCUUCUGACUCACAGCCUGUAAGUAUGUUUUCAUAUUUAAAGAAUUUGCCACUGACUAUUCAAAUGCAAGUUUUGAGCUGUGUAGAGUACGUAGUGCUUGUUGUUUGUCAUUUCUCCGAUCACAAAUGCAGAAAUGGUAAUGUUUACGCGGUGCAAUGCGUAAAAAGACAGUAUGAGUCAUUAUAAUCAGUAAUUAUGUCCCCACUGGAUGCAAUAAAUGCCUCGUUUGUAAUGGGUUUUAUUGUUUUUGUGUUGUCGCGCCGGGACACAGCAUCACAAUAUGGUAAGGGGCGUAACAUUUCCGUCUCACGCUUGAGGUAUUCGGCCAAUCACAAGGCACUGGGUAGCUGACCAAUCAGAGCAUGCCUCACUUCUCAGAACAAUGAGCUUUGUAAAAAUCGGCACGUUUCAGAAAGGCGGGGGCAUAGAGGAGCAACAAUAAUGUACAGUAUGUGGAAAAUUGUCACGGUGCACACAGCAGGGAGGAACGAGGAGACGAGGAUAACUCAAAAUACAGUCUUUAAUGAAUCCAAACAGACAGGGCACGACAAGGCAAGGCAGGGCAGGGCAGGGCAGACACACAGGAACACUGGGAAUAACGAGUAGACCAGACCAAAACUAACUAAACAGGCAGGAACUAAAUACACAUGACAAUAACAGAUAAUUACACACACCUGAACCGAAUAAAGUAAUAAUCACACAGAACAAGGACAGGAACAUGACCAAAUAAGGAAACAAGAGGCGGGAACACGUGACACUCAUGACAGAGGACUGACAAAAAUAAUGUGUUUUUUGAACCUUAAACCGCAUAAACACAUUGCAUUACACCAAAUACACCAAAUAAUGUUCGUUUUAGCAACAUCAUAUGAACACUUUAAUGUAGGUGUUUUACAAAUGAAAAAUCAGAAUAACUAGUUUUGCCAGCAUUAGCUAAAAAUUGUUCACAAAUUUGGGGUCAGUAAGAUUUUUUAUUUUAUUUUUGUUGUUGUUGUUGUUAAAAUACUUUUUAAUUGCUCAAAAAUACAGUAAAAACAGUAAUGUUGUGAAAAUUCUAGUAGUAUUGUAGCAUAAAAGGUUCUAUUUGAAUGUAUUUUAAAAUGUAUUUUAUUCCUGUGAUAGCAAAGGUAAAUCAGCAGAAUCUUUGUAAAAAUUGAGCAAACUGUGAUUUUUGAUCAAUUUAAUGCAUCCUUGUAAAUUAAAAGUAUUCAUUUCUUGAAAAAAAAAAAUAGACAUGUCGUGAUUGAUAAAUAAAUGAAAUGGAAAAAAAAAAAAAAAAUGUACAAAAAAAAAUAUACAAAAAUGUACACUAAUAUACAAAAGUUUGGGGUCAGUAAGGUUAUUUAUUUCUUUUAUUAUUUAUUUACUUAUUUAUUUAUUUAUUUGGAAAUAAAUUAAUCUGAUUGUAUUCAGGGUUCAAAUUUCUGGCCAUUAAUUUUUCGUAUGUAUUUUUUUUAUUUAAAGAUAUGUUAAAAAGGUAUUUGAACAAACCCAACAAACAUGUAAUAAUAGCAUAAACAAACAAACAAAAAAAUAUAUAUAUAUUUUUCUAUCUAGUUGUCCUUUUUUUAAUUAUGACAGUGACAAUGAUUGUUUUGUACUGUUUGUCCAUCUGCAGCAAGACAGAUUCCUUUUAUAUCUUAAGUUUGUUGAAUAAAAAGUCUAAAAUCUAAAGAUAAACAUAUGAUGGUCAAUUUUCCGCUGAUUUAAAACUCAUUAGAAGAUUCUUGAGUCGCAACAGAUGUUUUAUGUAUUAUGUUGCAGUUCCUAACAGAGUUACAGAUCAACUGGAAAUUAAUAUUUACUUUUAACCACCAAAGAUAACUUUUGACUCACAUCUGCUGCUUGGUGAGAUUUUAUUCCCAUUUACUCCAACUACCUUAACUUCUACUUGGAUUUUUAUUCCAAAUGACUAUGUAUGUGUGACUAAUCUCUUAGAUGAUUGUGAUUGUGUGCAUACUGAAGAAUAUAUGACAGGAGAGAACUCAAACCACAUACAUUCUUCACCUGAAGCCCAGUCUCUCUCUCACACAUGUACCACCCAGCGUGAGAACAUUCUUCUGUACCUUCUCAGUUUUUCUCCUUCUCAAUCUUUCUCAUGGCCCAGGCAUCUCCAGCUGUUUCUAAUACUCCUCUCAGUCAUGCUGGAUGCUUUGGAGCUAUAUGAUUACAGCUGUGUGUGUGUGUGCGUGUGUGCAUGUGUGUGUUUAACCAUAUGCUCCCAUCUGGCUCCAUCCCAGGGGAAGUCGACCCGCUCUUAAAGAGCUUGGCUAAGGUCUGGUGUUUAGCAGCUCUGGGCUCACGGCAUGCAUUCCUGCGUCGGUGGAGUCUAGGCGCAGUAAAGCGUUUGAUUGACGGAUGAAACAGGAAAUUGUUUUUCUUUCUUCCUUUGGGUUUUCCAUACAGAGAUGCUGAUUCAGUGGUCCGUUAAGGUUGGAGUUGGCCUAAUGCCACUGGAGGAGUCUAGAAAAGAUACGCUUACAUCUAUCUCAAGUGUGCUUUUUCAUCUGGAAGAUCAUUUUGCUCAUCUGCAAUACAUUCCCUGUUGAAUGUUAGAAUGACAUGCGGCAGAUGUUUUUGCGAUGUUCAUGAAACAUACAGACUGUCAUCGCCUAGUCCGUUUGAACAUGGCUAGCAAGCGCUCUUGCACUGGUCUGACGGUAACAAAUCUCAGCACUCAAGGGGAUAAUCCAGUUUCCCUUUGUCUGUGCUAUUAAAGCAGAUGUGAUUAUUCUGGGAAGUUGCUCUAACCAUAUUGACCUUAACUAACUUAGCUUAGUUUCUCUUCAAACUAUUGCUCUGCCCUAACAAGAGUUGAGCUGAAAGAGAAAACUGUAUUAGACGGUAAAAGCCCAUUCACACCAGGAACGAUAACUAUAAUGAUUACGAUUAAAGGAAAGAUAAAAACAUUGACAGCCAAUCAGAAUCCAGUAAGGGUUUCUGCCUUUCCACAAAUUAAGGACUUAAAAAGAUCUUAAAUAGGAGGAUUAACUAUACACGUCUUAACUUUUAUAAAGAAUAUCUCUUUGGGUUUGAGACUUUAGUCUUUGCAACUUUAGGGAUCUCAUUUAUGCAUGAACAGCUUGUAACACUCCAAAGAGAAAGGAAAGCUUGAAAUCACAUCAUAUGACCCCUUUAAAUCAACAUACAUUAGCUUGAGAUGCAAAAUAAAGACCUUCAUAAAACCUGCAGAAACCCUAUCAAACAGAACGUUAUCAUCUGCUAGAUAACUAAUAGUUAUUAUUAUAUCUUCAUAGUUAUCGUUCUUUGGGUGGACAGGCUUUAAUGCCUUGCUAUAGCGCCCCUUGUGGAAACACUAAGUAUGUAAAGUGUACUUGUGUUGGGGAUUGCACUAUAAACUAAUGUUUCACUACCAGAAAUAAUGUAAAUAUACCAAAUUGCAAAUCUAUUUUUACCUUUAUAAUAUACUGACAACUACCUUAAAACACAGGUUGUAAAGAGUAAGUCAUGGGAUGAAUCAAAGUUCAUCACAAGUAGCUUUUCCACAAGCUGAGGUAAAUGCUAAUAUAUGAAAGGUGCAUGUUAUCAUACACACAAAUAUGAUAAACCACAACACUAAAAUAAUUCUCAUAACAUUAAUUUAACAACAUAAUGUGUAACAUAAAAUCCUGAUGUACAUAAAUGAAAACUAAGAAGAAACUAUUUCAAUGAAAAACCAUUAAAUGUGAAGAAUUCUGGGAAUGUCGGAUUUUCACAGUAAAUUAAGAUGAAUUGUUCGUUUUCACUUCCAAAAACUGUACAUAUAACAGCAUUUUAUUGUAAAAUUACAUGAAAAGUCCCAUUAGAUCUACAGUUUUAUACUGAACUUACCAUUCAGGCAAGGUUUUUACUGUAGCAUAUUUACAGUCUUUUACUGUUGGAGUCACAAUCAUUUUUGCUGAGUUUGCUUCUGAAAGUCUGAUUUAAUUUGUGAAUUUUCUUUCCUACAGGGACAGAUAAAACGAAAUGUUUAGUGUCAGAUUAACACAUCAUGCAGUGCGAUUCACUUCCCCUAGAGUCAUUUCACCGUCAGGAAAACACAUGUCACCUAACUGUGUUUAGCUGUGAAUAAGCUGUGUUUUGUUAUCUGCUUGAAUCAGACACUCAGACAGACGGACUGCUGAGAAUGUGCUGCAGUCAGAUUUAAAGUGCCCUGUAAAUAUGUUUGUGGCGUUGUUUGCAUUUUAAAGUCUGACAAAUGGGGUCACGGGUGAAGUGCUGGCAUAUUUUCGCAGGGUGAUUCACGCGUGGAACAUUCUGCAUGUGUGGGGGAAACAUGGUUUGAAUAUUUUGAAAUGAAUCAUUUGAAGAGGAAUGAAUUGAGUUCUCAAGGGGGUUUUGUGGCGGUGGCUUACGUUCUCCUUAGAUCAAUGAAUAUGACAUUUUGAGAUGGUUCCCCCCUGCUUUCUGCUGCGGUUAAAGGGUACAGUCAUGCUGGGUACUGUAUAUUUGUCUUUGAAAGAUGAUUGAUAGAUAGAUGGAACGUUUGCAGUUCUUACAGAGAUAUUUUAGAAAAUGUCCCAAUAUCAUUUAAAACUUUCAUGUUUCGUUAGAAAUUAGACAUCUAGGUUGUGUCAGAUGUCUUACUGUAGCUUUGUGUGAGGAAAAGACCAACAUUUGAUGAAUCGCUACUCAUGCAUAUGAACUGGCAUGUCGAGUUCAGUUGCAAUGCACAUCAAAUCCAAUGACAACAAAUCUUGUACAACGCAAAAAUGCACUUUUUUUUUUGCAUGCAUGCAUGCAAUCGCAAAUAGACAUUCUUCUUCAUGAUCACUUAAAAUGCAGCUGCAUCUUUUGUGUUCCAUGGAAGAAAGUCAUACAGGUUUGGAACAACAUGAGGGUAGGUAAACAAAUUUUCUUUCAUGGGUGAAUUAUUCCUUCAGUAGGACAUGUUCAGUCCUACUCAGUGUGUAUUAUAAUCGCUCUGGAAACAAACUUUGACUUACCGUUCCAAACCCUGAACCGCAACGCAACCAUCAGCACUUGCGCUUUCAUCUUCCAGCUGAUGAAACAGAGCCAAGAGGAAAUGAGACAACUUUUUUUGUGAACUUCCUGAAGACCUUUGUUUUGACCUUUAAAUAGUGCUUAGACUUCCACUAGACCUUGUGAUGUGAAAUAAAACUUCCUCUUGUGGUAUACUUAAGAUAGUUAUGCUACUUUUGUUGAUGGCUACUUUAUUACUACCCAGAGCUUUCAAACAUCUGGUUAAAUCAUAAUUUAAUGAGAUAUGGCACCAAUGUUCCUGUUAUAUUGCAUUAUGGAAUAUUUUAAUUUGUCUCCAUAAAUGAAUGUAAGUAGUUGUAAAAUAGAGUAAAAACAGUAACAUUGUGAAAUGUUAUUACUGUUUUCUAUUUAAAUAUAUUGUCAAAUUGCAUGCAAAGAUGAGUUUUCAGCAUCAUUUCUCCAGCCUUCAGUGUCACAUGAUGCUUCAGAAAUCAUUCUGCUGCCUAAGAAACAUUUCUUAUUACCAAUGUUAAAAACAGUUGCGCCGCCUAAUAAUUUUGUGCAAACAUUAUUCUAGCUAGAUUUGUAUUGUUUUAUUUCUUUGCAAUAUAUUUUAAACCUGUUCAAUAACAGGUGAGAGGAUCAGGUUUAGGUGCAGGGCUAUGUUUAGGGGAUAGAAAAUGUUAUUAGCUUUAUAUAACAACAAUAGUUGAAGGAAAGUCCCCACUAUGAUAGAAAAGCAACCGUGUGUGUGUGUGUGCGUGUGUGAGAGAGAGAGAGUGUGAAUGUAAGGGUUAUAUUUACAGAAGUGAAGCUGAUUAAGGCCAGCGUGUUGCUGCUUUCACACUCAAACAAAUGCAGUGCAGGGAAAUAUGAGAGUCAUAAAUGUUUUGACAGCUCUAUAUGCGUGAGGUCAAAUAUCUGAAGAGAGUUACUCGAUAUCACACCAUUACUUCCACUGCUACUGCAACUGAAUUCUUCUGUUCUACUAAUGCAUAAUCAUAUGGUUAAAGAUAUUGCCUUAGCAGACUGUAAGUUGGGUCUGUUCUUGUUUUGAACUGGAGAAAGCCCUUUUCCACUAAAAUGAUGCUGAUCACAAGGUUUGAGAAGUGGAAUGCAUUGAUGUGCUGUAUUAUUAUCAAAAUGUGAUUGUAAAUGAGAUUUGAGAGCUUUAGUUGAGGGGAAUAUUAUCAGUGCAUGAUUUCAAGUUAUUUUUAUAAUAUAAAAUAUGGGGACCACCUAUGUGUAGAGCUUGCAUUGAGAUUUGUGUAGCUUUUCCAUGAAAUUUCAUUCAUUGUAUGGAAAAUUAUCUUUGGUUUGGAUCAAAAUAAAGAUGGGUAAAUUAUGACAGGAUUUUAAAAAUCACUCAAAAGAUCAACACUCAAAGAAUAUGUAUGACUAAAUUUAAGAUUUAUGUAUUUAAAUUGCAAAAAAAAAAAAAAAAAAAUAUAUAUAUAUAUAUAUAUAUAUAUAUAACGGUGAAAAUGUUAAUAAUUAUCCAGUUUUAACUAAUAUGUAUCUUUCUCUUUUAAUUAAUAUUUAUCUAAUAAAUUAAUGUGAUACAUAUUUGUCAGCCAUAUAUACAGUAAAUGAAACGGGUAAGAAACAGGUCAGAUUUCUGUACUUGUACUAAUAAACUAAACUUGUUUUAAAUACACAAUAACCAGGGGCUUCAUGUAUAAAACUCUCCGUAUAUUUCAUCCUAAAAGUGUACGUACGCACAAAAGCCAGAACCUGUGCAAAAAUCCCUUCAUAAAUCCCAGUCAGAGGAAGAUUGUGCCUAUGUGCAUCUCCACCCCGACUCCUCCCCGAAAUCACCAUAUAUCGAGCUUGCAACGCCUAAUUUAACUAUGCAUAACCUCAUCUGCAUAUCAUUUCCAUGCAUAUUCCCAUCCAUGUGACACCAUGUUUAACACCAUCACAAGAUAAAAUAUACAGAGAUGUGGACUAUAAAUGCCAUUAUUUUUUAUUGCUAAAAGUUAUCCAAUAUCCUUGUUAUGUUUUAGAAUAAAUAUAUAAAAAUAUCCAUAAAAACAAAACAGUUUUAAAAUAGUUAUUAGAUAAACAUUUUAGAACAGUUGAUCUCAUUGUUUUACACUGUCCAAAUAGUAUUUAAAUUGUUUUAAACAAUUCAAAUCAAAUUAAAUUUAUGCAGUUUUGCUGAUCACUAUUUUUAGUGGAAACAGAUAGGCCUAUAGCCUAUUUAUUGCAGACUCGGCACGUCACUGACAUUUUAAAAAGGAAACGUGUACAUUUUCUUCAAGUUGUAUCCUUCAAAUACAGUGGUACUUUUCAUAAUGUUGUGGAGAUGCCUACACAUCAUUUUUAUAAUAUUAAACUACGCCAUGACUUUUUUUUUUUUCUUUGAAUGCUGAAAUUUUACCUGAUUGUUAAUGUUUGUAUGCAUGACAUUAAGUUUAUUAGUUCAUGUUAAAAAUGUAAUCCAAAAGGAUGAAUAUUUUUAUAUGCAAUUCAAAUGCAUACAGUAAAUCCUAAAUUUAGGCCCAAAUAUAAUUUUAAUUCAAUGUACAUAAACAGCACAAAAAAAAAAAAAAAAGUAAUUGUGGUUGAUCACUGUAUAUGUCAUUAAGUCAAUCUCUUCCUGUCUAAAUGGGUGGUUCUUGGCUAGAAUAAACUACAAAGUGGACCAGAGUUUAUACCAGUAGUCAGACUAGCCGGUCUAAAAAACCAGCAUGAGAAUUCAUUCUGGUCUAAGCCGGUCUUUUCAGCAGGGUGAAAGAGCAAUAUGAACAAUACAAGAGAGGUAUGGAGAGAGCAGAGGUUGGAAAUGAGUGAAUGGUGGGAAAGUAAGAAGAAAGUAAGCAAAAGAGAAAGUGCAGUGCAGUAGGAGGUUCAGAGAGAGAGAAAGAGCCCUUUAAAAAAGGGGGUGUGGGAAUGAAAGAGGGCAAGAAAAUGGGGGAAUGAGAGGAAAGAGGGAGAUUUAGUUGUGUAGUUGGGUGUGGGAAUGCGGGGUCAGAGCUCUGCUGGAAGAAGAGGCUCUUGGCAGGACACAGCUGAAAGGGAUUGUGGGAAUUUAUACCGGAUUAGUGGAGUGUCUGAUGCUCUACAACUCUCAUACGGACACACACACACACACAACUAGAGCUAGACUGAACAUUCACAAUAUAUUUGUUAUGACUUUAACACUUGUUUUGUCCUCUACACUGGCUAAAGUUUGUGUUAUUACACUAGGAGUGUCUUGUGAGUUUGCAAGCAUUAUAUUAAACUUCAGCAGCACAAAUGCUGUUAGAGUUCAAAAUGUCAGAACUCAGAAGUGUGAGAUAUUAAUUAGCAGUUUGGGGGAGGAAUUGCCAGAUGUUAACUUGGAAUUCUGAGGAGAAAAGUUUGAAUUGCAAGAUGUAAAUCUGCAAUUGUGAGAAGAAAAAUAUGAAUUUUGAGAUGUAAACGCAUAAUUAUACAUAAGAAAAGUUCAAAAUUGCAGUAUGUAAAGUCAUAAUUCCAAGUAAAAAAAAUUGUGAGAUAUAGACUCAUAAUUUUAAGCCAAAAAAAUAAAAAUAACAAUCUGAAUUGCAAGAUAUGACCUCUAAGCCGAAAAAGGAAAUUAUGAAAAAAAAAAAAAAACAUUUACAAUAUUUUUAUUAAAUCAUUUCUGUCCGUUUCAAUGAAUUGCUUCUAAACGCAGCAAUUUGUUUUGCAACAUCACUCAACAAUGUAACAUUUUUAAUGUAUUAAGAUAUUUGUAUGUAAAUAUUGGAGUUUAUGAGUAUGUAGAGUUAUAUUGGUGCAUAUAAAUUAUUAAAUAUUCUUGUUGUUUCAUUAGCCCCUCCAAAGAAA
Long non-coding RNA from Onychostoma macrolepis, 11547 nucleotides. RefSeq lists it as uncharacterized. The record is from RefSeq and is a predicted model, not a curated record. The transcript has 2 exons. NCBI's taxonomy places the organism in Eukaryota, Metazoa, Chordata, Actinopteri, Cypriniformes, Cyprinidae.